RNAcentral lists this ribosomal RNA (115 nucleotides) under Microcebus murinus (gray mouse lemur). The record is from RNAcentral. Lineage: Eukaryota; Metazoa; Chordata; Mammalia; Primates; Cheirogaleidae.
UCUGAUGGCCAUACCUCCCUGCAUGUGCCCAAUUUUGUCUGGAUCGUGGAAGCUAAGCAGGGUCGGGCCUGGUUAGAACUUGGAUGGGAGAUGUUCCAAUAGUAUGCUUCCGGAA